CCUGGCGUUCCUCCGCCGAGAGGCCGCCCUCGUGUGCUUAGAGCCGUGACUGCAGCGGUCUUCCCUGGGACAGAGGAGCAGCUCAGGGAGGAGGAAGAGAAAGCGGGAAAGAGAAAACGCGCGUCCUUUCAGAAACGGAGCGGGAGUGCAAACAUUGCGGUUUCUUGGAGGGACUCAGAAUUGAUGUGGUGCUAUGGCAGAAUGGAACAGCAGUCCUUGUUCUGCAGAGGAGACUGGAGCUUCAUCAUCAAGUAGUUUAUAGGUAAGCAGAGGAAAAAAAAGACCUCAAACCCUGUGGGUGAUAGGUGUUCCUCUAGUUUGCUACCUUGAUUCUCUUUUAAAAAGUUGUUAGUGGGGCUGCAGAGUGUACUGCAGGGGUGGAGAAACAGGGACUUCUCUGCUAUCGAGGAGAAGCCUGACUUGAGAUGGUGCAAAUGUUCUAAGAAAUCCAACACUCCUUAGCAACAGUUGUGUAACAAGCAGUUAGCUAAUAGGCGGGAGUAGAUAGCAUUUAUAAAGAUGCAUGUCAUGAUAGCUGCUUUUAGAGCAUAGUUAACAUGUAGAGUUUUUAUUGAAAGCCAGGGUUUAUAGCUUGUGGAAAAGUUCAUUCAGCAUCAUCUCAAGCCUUAUCCAGCCUUGUCUUGGUGUUUACCCAGUCAUGUUAAUGUGAACACAGUUGGAGGGUGUAGGGAGAGGCGAGAGCAGAGAACCAGUCCUGAAUUACCAACAAAGGCUGCUGGUCACCACCCAGUUCAACAAAGAUUUGCUCACCUGUCCCAAGGCCUGGGGCUCACCAAACACUCCCCAAGGAGGGAUCUCCAGAUAGAAACCUUUCCCUUGGGGCAGCCAGCCCUUUAAUGAGGGCAGGGAGGGCUGGAACCGGGUUUUUGGAAUUGCUGCCACCUGUGCUCCCAGGGCUGCGUCCUUCCCCAGGUGCUCAAUUAUUGCUUAGGGCAGAGACUCAGCAAUUCCCAUAGGGAGGAGUGCAUGUUUAUUUUUAGGUCUGUGUAAAAUUAUUAAAACACAGAAUUGCAAGUUGGGACCCAAUGAGAGUAUAUUACUGAUACACUGUGACUAUAAAUGCUGUAAUGUACAAAUGCAUAGUGAAAAAGUGCUGCACUGGUUUUCCACUGUUUGUGUUUGAAGCAUGGUAUCUGAAGGUAAGUUGAUAGCACAUAUAGCCUGCAGACUUUUAUAAUGGAUUAAAUUCAUACAGAAAAAGUAUUUUAGCAAAUUUACAGGGCAUACUGUUCAGUUUUAUGGGUACUUAAAUAAUAAUUUGAUUUUGUAACACUUUUCCAAAUUCUGAGGUCAUCAGCGUCGCACAGACUUUAAUGAGGAAAUGGUUGGUGAUCAAGUAUGGAGGUUGCCUCCAUGUGAGAAAGUAUCAUAGUAAAUACUUAAAUGAAGCAGCUUCAUGACAGAAAGAAUCUUGUGCACACUGAACAGCUCGUUGUUCUUUCUCCCAAAGAAGUGCAUGCAGGUGUUUGCUUCAAAACAAGCUGAGCAGAAUACAAAAUGCAAAUAUGAAACCCAGCAAUCCAGCACAUCUUGAAAACUUUCAAAGAACUUAGGAAAAUCGAGAAUGAAUAGGAUAGAUUUGUCCAAUUUGUUCUUUAAUGAACCAGGAGGCAGAUGAGUUUUGGGGUAUGGUGAACGUUAGCUGCACGUAAUGAGAAAAAGAUCUUGUUGUGAAGUAAGGUCUGCAGGGUUCAUGAGCCGUAUGCAAGGUAAUUGUUUGCAAUUGUUUUAAUUCUUCUGAAGCUGCUCUGUUUCGAUUCUAUUGAAGAGCACCGCGUGUGCCUCGUGUGCCUGUUGCACAGAUCAGAACUCCUGCAGUACCUCCGGCUUCUCUUUUUAUGACAGAAGUACCUUACUGAAAGCAAAGGAAAAUGCUGCACCAUGCUUUUGUUCUGGCUGAUACUAAGGUAGUCCAGAGUCUCUAUACAUCAGAGUACCUAUGUCAGGGUUCUCAAUUUCUUGAGACAAGAAUAAAAGCAAAGGAAUUAAACUAACAAAACCCAGUAAACCGAAAUGUUGGGAGUUCAGGAGUUCUUCAUUGUUAAACAUGUUCUAUUCUCUCUGAUUCUGAAGAAAAACCACCAUUCUUUUGGAGUUUGUCUAAGCCCUCGUAUCAUUCUUGUUCCUUUUUGCAGGAAAGGUACUUGAUAACGUUGCCCAAAUAUUUCUGAUUCAUACAAUCCAGAAUUUUAGCUUGUUAUUAAAUGCAUUUCUCAUUUUUAAUAAGUAAAAGCAAACAAUUUAACUGUUUUCCUUUUUUUUUUAUUUGAGACACUUAGCAAAAAUGCUGAAAUAUCAAACAUUUCCUCAGUAGCUACAAUAUUGCCACUAUGUACAAAAAAUCUGAUAAAUGUACUACACAUAUAAAAAUACAAUAUGCCUUAAUAUAUAUACAGUACAAUGUGCAAAACAUAUGGCAUUCAAACGUAUGGAAUUGAUUUUAGGACUGCAAACAACAAAUACAAAGGCAUCAUGGUUUCUUAUAGAAAGGCAAAACAUAAACUGACGCCCUGAUUGCCAUAAUUUGCAUUUAGUAAAGUAGUGCUUAAAUGAAGAGGGCCCUAGGAAGAGGUGUCCAUCUUCUUCUUUUCACGAAAUGAGAUGCUAAGACACAGUAAUGGCUAUGAAAAUAAGAAGAGCAACACCUACGAGGUUAGCGUCAUUUCUACUGCAAGCAGCACUGUGGAAGAAAUAUCUGGAAAAAAGCCUGUGCUACUAAUACAAAUUUCUCAAUCAACAAAACAAAUCUGUCCUCUUAAACAUCAAAAUCUGCUUUGAAAAUAUCUACAUCCUUAAUUUUAAAAAAGUAUGGGUAAUUCUUUUGGGGAUUUACUUUCCUGUGCUUCAAAGUACAAAGUGCCUUCUUUGGCAAUACAAAUGGCAAUGCUUUGGUUCCUUUUUACAUUUUUAUAUUACUAUAAUUUAUUUGAGGCUGUUUUUGAAUAUCUGAGCUGUUCUUUUUAUAAAAAUAGUGUGAUUGUAUAGUUGUUAACCAUUCCCUGCUUUUUACUGAGAUUUCACUCUCAGAGCUUGAAUAGCUUUUUUUUGGCUAGAAUUCUACAAAUGUAUUUAUGCAUUCUGAACCUAAAAGUCUAUAUAUUCAGACACUACAGAAUGACACAGGUGUCUCUUUUCUGCAUGUUAUUCAUCACAAUAGAAGGAAUACUUGAGAUUAUUUCAGGUUCAGAUUUUAAAGGAUGCUCUUUAUUGGCCACAUAUAUACUAUGUGCAACUCAGUUCCAUGUCUCUCUCAAAAGAAAACCUCUAUUAUGGCCUAGAAAUCAUCAGAAAGCAAUUUAAUAGGCCACAACAAAAAAAAUUUAACAAAAUAUUCAGUAGAUAUAAGUGGAAGAAUAUUUUUUUCCAGUUUUAAUGUAAUUUGCUUUAAACUUAUAAUACACUGAAGAUGCCAUCCAAAUGACUGUAUACAUCAGUGAGCUUUACUGUGUUUUCAUUACAUAAUGUCCUUCCAGUUAAUUAUAUUCUUUGACUGCAUUUUCUCUGCCUUGAGAACAGUUCAGCAGCUUGUGCCUGGUUUCCAACUAUGGUGCUUAUGCUUUUCAGGCAUCAGAAUGUUUAAGAUUAUGUAACAGAGAAGUCUAAUAUUGAAACAUCUGCUUUGAUUAUUUGCUUCCUUGAAGAUAACUCCUGCUAGUCAAUUUAGAGAUGCCUUGAAAAGAAAUGUCUGUAUUAAACUGUGAUUGCUUCUAAUGUUGCCUCAGCUUUUUAAUGGGCUGGUUUUGCAAGGCUCUCAUUACUGGAUUAGAAGCUACAAUUCUGUAAAGAGCAGUUGAACAAACGGAUGGUUUUUUUUAAAGAUACAACUGCUAAGUUUAUGACAAUGACUUGCUAACUGUUUGUAACACUGAAUAAAAUUUGCCUGUAAACUUA
This is a long non-coding RNA of Centrocercus urophasianus (Greater sage-grouse), 3912 nucleotides long. RefSeq lists it as uncharacterized. The transcript has 2 exons. Lineage: Eukaryota; Metazoa; Chordata; Aves; Galliformes; Phasianidae. The record is from RefSeq and is a predicted model, not a curated record.